ACGAGGCACGUCGUAGCCUCCGAUCUUGAUGUCCUCUACUGUUAAUCUUGGCACAAGAAGCGGCGCUGCUGGAUAUAGCCUGAGUGUCUCUGACACUACGUUUUGGAGGUAAGGCAGGUUUGGAAUGUCUGUUUCCUCGAUCAAGCGGUCUUGUCCGAUUUUCUCGUCAAUCUCUAGUUUCAACUUUUCCAACAACUUUGGAUGAUUCAACAAACUCGCCAUCGCCCACUCUAUUGUCACGGCCGAUGUUUCUGAUGCGGCAAACAUGAUACCCUGUUUUGCAGACUAUUAUUAGCUCAUUUGUUAUAUAUAUUAAUGUCGUAAUAUAUAUACUAGUGCUCAUGAAAAGAUAUAUAUAUAUAUAUAUAUUUAUAUAUUAUAAAAUAAAUAAAUCGUAAUAAUUAGUCAAUAUAUAUAUUAAUAUUAUUUAGUUCAGUGGCUAUAUUUCAACAAAAAAUAAGUCGAUAUUUUAAUUUCAUCUAUUUACAAAUUUCUCGUUUUCUAAUUUAUAUACAUAUAUAUAUAUAUAUAACAUUGAAUCAAAGAUCCUAACGCCAACGUCACAAUCUUGUUCGCUAAUCCUGCGCCUGGACACAUUCUCCGUCCACUUCCAAAGGUUAUCAGCAUACGGACAUCGUCCUUUUCUCCUUCUCCUCCACCGUUAAACCUAUCUGGAUUAAACCUCUCUGGUUCCGUCCACAGUUCUGGAUCCCUGUGUAUACUCCACGCGUUCACCAUGACCAUCGUCUCACGAGGCACGUCGUAGCCUCCGAUCUUGAUGUCCUCUACUGUUAAUCUUGGCACAAGAAGCGGCGCUGCUGGAUAUAGCCUGAGUGUCUCUGACACUACGUUUUGGAGGUAAGGCAGGUUUGGAAUGUCUGUUUCCUCGAUCAAGCGGUCUUGUCCGAUUUUCUCGUCAAUCUCUAGUUUCAACUUUUCCAACAACUUUGGAUGAUUCAACAAACUCGCCAUCGCCCACUCUAUUGUCACGGCCGAUGUUUCUGAUGCGGCAAACAUGAUACCCUGUUUUGCAGACUAUUAUUAGCUCAUUUGUUAUAUAUAUUAAUGUC
This 1070-nucleotide long non-coding RNA is filed under the name Brassica napus (rape). RNAcentral describes it as "long non-coding RNA (BNAP_LNC014360)". The record is from RNAcentral. Lineage: Eukaryota; Viridiplantae; Streptophyta; Magnoliopsida; Brassicales; Brassicaceae.